Molecule: non-coding RNA, 27 nt
Filed under: Mus musculus (house mouse)
Lineage: Eukaryota; Metazoa; Chordata; Mammalia; Rodentia; Muridae
Source: RNAcentral
UGCGAAGCCCCCGAGGAUGGAAGUAGG